AUACUUUAAGGGCCUUAAACACAUCAUUCAUGGGAUUUCUAAGAGUUUACGGCCAAGACCUGUUCUUGGGCCGUAAACUCCAAAAUUUUUGGUGUUAGAAUGCAAACUAAACACCCCUAAAGCCUUUAGAUGAAUUUUAGAAGCCAUUCUAUGCAAGUUUUAGACCUUGAAACACAUUGUAGCUUCAUAUAUUAGAGUUUACGGCCAUGAAGGGGGUUUCAUGGGCCGUAAACUCCAUAAAUCCCUCAUAUGUCCCAUAUAAACUCAUUUCUAGGCUUGUGGGAAUUUUUAGAAUCACAUGUGAUUGGUUUUAACAACAUUUAGCAUCAUUUUCAUAAGGAUUAAGGAGUUUACGGCCAGGAGCCUAUGCUAGGCCGUAAACUCCCAUAAAUUAAUCAUUUUGGUGAUUUUAAUCCAUUCCAAGCAUUUAGAACAAAGCCUAGAAACAUUUCCCAUGUCCAUGUAAGCCAUUUAAGCCAUUUAAACACCCAAAACCACACCCACAUGAGUUUACGGCCGUAAACUCAUGUAUGUGUGUGUUUUGUGGUUGUAAACUCAUUUAAAAGUUUACUCAUGGGGAGUAAACUCAAGUCCCAAGUCCCUAGUGUCAUUUCACAUCCUUAAACGCCACCCGGGUCCCUCCAAACACUCGUAUCGGAGUGUUUUCGCGACUAGAAGCAAUUGUCCCUAUCCAACAAUCAAUCUAAGUCCUAAUUAGAUACAAAUGUGUAUCUUUAAACUAUAUUUAGGAACCUCGCGCAUUUACAAGCCCCAGACCAACGUUUAUCAUCCGAAAUCGUCACAUUUCUCGUCCGGUGAGUUCAUACCCCCACCCUUUUUCACUGUUUUUUUAACAUGUUUUCAGGGGGGGAAUACAAGCAAAAGUACAAGUGUAUCUUGUACUCAAAUUGAUUUUCAACUUAAUGGUUUCAGUUUCUAAAUGUCUUAAUUUUCAAAGAUCUAGACAACUAAUGUUUCGAAUUGCAGGUUAAUUGUAGANAGAUUUCUAUUGAAAAGUACUUUGAUCUAUAUUGCUUUUAUAAAGAAAUCAUACUAAUAAGAAAAUACGAAUACGAAUAUGUCUACGAAUACGAAUACGAAUAUACGAAUACAAAUACGAAUAUGUUUACGAAUACGAAUACGAAUACGAUUACGAAUACGAAUACGAAUACGAAUAUACGAAUACGAAUACGAAUAUGUCUACGAAUACGAAUACGAAUACGAAUAUACGAAUACGAAUACGAAUAUGUCUACAAAUACGAAUACGAAUAUACGAAUACAAAUAUGAAUAUGUCUAUGAAUACGAAUACGAAUACGAUUACGAAUACGAAUACGACUAGGAUUACGAAUGCGAGUGCGAAUGCGAAUCCGACUACGAAUACGAAGUGACGCCUUUGGUUGACACUAGACUACGAAUAUACGAAUACCGUACUCUCUGAGUGUCACCAGAGUUUCGAAAACGAAUACGAAAAUACGCCUCUGGACCUCUACUGAGCUUCGAAUAUAUCCUCCUCAGAAUGUCGACAGAGCUUCGAAUACACAACGAAAUGUACUCUUUUGGAACUUCACAGAACUUCGAAAAUACAUUUAAGUUAGCAGAUAGUAGCCAUCCAAAGGUAGAAUAACUAAGGGUUAGAAUACUUAUCUAAUAUUAUACACAUGGUAAUAACUAGUAUCAAAUGGAAACGAACAGAUAACUCAAAACAUAGGAAAAUAUGGGAUUUUCCUGGGAUAAUAUAACAGUUAGUAACGAACCUAGAUACAAAUAGACAACUCGACAUAUAGGAAAAUAUGGGAUUUUCCGGGGUAACAUAACAGCACAUAAUCGAAUAAAGAAACAAACGAAUAACUAUAACUAUAAGGAAAAUAUGGGAUUUUCCUGGAAUGUCAUAACCAACCGUUUUCGAAAUUGUAUCAAGGGAUAACUAAAUUGUUUUCAAUAAGAAAAUAUGGGAUUUUCUUCAUCAACAUCUUUUCUCGAACGUUAAGGAACUCGUCUUUUCAAAACUAAACUGCUUAUGAACUCACCAGCUUUAUGCUGAUUUUCAAACUGCUUGUAUUCUCAGGUCCACGUUAGACAGGUACACCGCAACCUUUUGGAGAAGACGGAGCGUCCCGAAGACUCGUCUUUACUUUUAUCUAUAUUACAUAUGUAUAAUACAUGUACAACUUUACUUUCAAUCAGAUGUAAACAUUAUUAUGUAAUGUAAUGUUUUGUGAUUACUGCUUUACUAUGUGCAUUGGAUUUGAUACUCAACGUGGAGUCAACCCCGGGAACGUUUCCGCCUUUGGUUUUCGGGGUGUGACACAUUGGUAUCAGAGCCCUUGUUUAUAGUGAACUGGUAUACCAAAGCUUACAUGGUAUAAGACUAUAAACAUUAAAGGGCCUAAGUGCUCUGAACUAAAAGUAUCCUACAAUAUAUAAGUAUUUUCAAAAAGUAUUUAAGUAUGUCGAGCCGUCGAAAUCCGUAACUAUAAGUAGAACAAAACAUAAGUAAAUGGGUGUUGUACACCGCGGUUAAACCUGGGCAGUUAUGUAGUCGUGUCUAGGGUCAAUAUAGCCUGGCCAACUAUAUUCAUUCGAGACACGGCCAACAUGUGCUUGGGAGUGACUGUGGCAUGCGGCAUACCUAAAACUUACCCAAUAUCCCAAACAACAAAUCGUCGCUGCAGCGAACCAUGAAAUACUAUGGGAGUAUUUCUCGAGCCGAUCCUUUGUAGAAAUCCUCGUAUACGCGUUAUUCCUUGAUUAUUCCUCUAGCGAUAAAAUGUUCUAUCUUGAUAACUCCUUUCUGCUUUAUCGCUUAGUAUGAUGCUAUAUUUGCCUUGAUGAGAUAUCUCCUAUCCCAUAUCUCUUGAUUCAAUUCAGAGGACUUAUGAUCCUCUCUUUCCUGAUCUUUUUAGAUCAAGAUGCCUCCAAGAAAGAGACCCAGCUCAACGAACAACAACAAUCCUCCUCCGCCACCACCUCCUAUUCAAAUCGAUUUGGAAACACUUCAGGCAACCAUUUCUGCUACCAUAUCAGCUCUCUUACCUCAACUGAACUCUAGGGGUUCGGGAGGUGAAACCCAAAACCCAGAUGAUAGCCAGGGACACCAAAAAGGGGGUUCCUAUAAAGACUUCAUGAACGCAAAACCGACAUUCUUCGAUGGCACAGGAGGUGUCAUUGCCUUAACCCGAUGGUUCGAGAGAAUCGAAUCAAUCUUUGAGAUAUGUGGCUGUUCGGAGUCUGAUAAAGUCAAGUUUGCUGCCUGCACUCUCCUCGAUAAAGCUUUGACUUGGUGGAACGGCCGAGUCAAAUCCCUGACCUUACCGGUAGCUAAUGCUAUGGGAUGGGAAGUAAUGAAGGAACUCCUACGUGCGGAGUAUUGCCCUCGGGGUGAAAUCCAGAAGCUGGAAAACGAGCUAUGGAACCUGAAGAUGAAAGGUUCCGAUAUCGCCUCUUACACUUCCAGGUUUGAUGACCUGGCACUCCUUUGUCCGGGAAUGGUUACCCCGGAAAGCAAAAAGAUAGAAAGAUUCAUCUGGGGAUUAACCCAGCCAACAAAGGGGAACGUUAUAGCAGCAAAGCUAGAUACCUACGACAGUGCAAAGUGUCUGGCUCAAACUUUGAUCGAUCACAGUGAUGUGCAAGAAGAAGCAGACACCACCCCCGAGCUCACAGAAAAGAGUUGCGAGAAAAGAAAAUUUUGGAAGAAGAAGAAGAGACAGUCUUCCCCAGAACUCUCAAAGAAACAGCAAAUAGUGACAGUUUAAGCUGCCACUAUCCCUGCUGCUGUUUCUGUUGUCAAUUCCACGUCUCAAGCACCUGUCACCGGAUAUGCCGGUAUCCUCCCAUGGUGUAACCAUUGUAGUUACCACCAUCGCAUCCCUGGCCCUUGUCGUGCAAAGUUUUGUAGAAGCUGUGGCCAGGAAGGUCAUCUCGCACGAACCUGCAAAACCCCAACCCCGUCAACUAGUCAGGCUUCCGGAGCAGGGAUCGGUCAAACCUGCUACAGUUGUGGAGAGGUCGGACACUAUAAGCGAAACUGUCCGAAGACAGUAACAUCUGGCAACACCGGGAGAGUCCUAACCAUGAGUCAAGAAAGGACGGUCGUUGAUCCCACCGUUGCUACAGGUAUACUUCUCUUUAAUAAAUCUUGUGCCUGUGAUCCUUCUCAAUUUUAAUGUGGUGAAAAUUUGCUAAUCAUUCAUUCAAAUAUCUAUCUAGACUAAAAUUCUUUGUCAAUAAUCGAAACAUACACCGUUAAGAUAACUAAUCAAUGAGAUAGAGAAACGGAAAGUAACAGUUCUUCCCUCUCAAUGUCUAUCCCGAAGGAUUCCCGGGAGUUUCUUUCAAAUGUCUAGUUUAGUCUCACAUCUGACCCUCUGAGAUCUUUGUAGAAAUCGAUUCUAUAACCCUUAGACUUCGGAUAUUCUUAGAACUUGGUAACAUCUAUCUAGACCAUCACGUCUCGAAUACUUAGAAACGUCUGCCCAACGAAACCCUAGUGAUCCCUUUGAGGAAACCGAAGUCGUUCAAGGUUUAAACCUCCAUGAGAAAACCGAUUGAUAUCGUAGAUUGAGAGAGAUUCAAAGUACAAAACCAAGACAUGUCCCGAUAAUGAGAAUUCGUUAGAACGCCCAGUAGAGAUCAAAUUCCGCUUGAGAUAGUGAAGAUCCGAAGCAACAAAUCCAUUCGUAUCUCAUUCCAAUCCAUGACCAGUAUCUUAUUCUUUGAAUUUCGGGACGAAAUUCCCUCUAACGGGGGGAUAAUAUAACAACCCGAAGUUGUUCCUCGCCGAAAACCCAUUCUACCCGUAUAACUCGACGGAGAUUGAAAUGUCCCGAUAUCGUUUUUGGGUUUAGUUAACAAAAAUUAUAUAUUUAUUUUCAUUCAAUGAGGGUCCAAAUCAUUUAGGAACUCAAGAAAUCAGCCCAAAAACAUUGUUACAUAAAUUUUAGAAACGUCCCCGCCGGGUGACGAAAACUCAAUCGGGUGCGACCUAAAGCUUCGUUUAAGGCCGGUAUCGGGUAGAAUUCCACCAUGUCCAAGUUUUAGGAACUAUAUAAACGUGUCUAACCUUUCAUUUGAAGCAUUUUCCUUCUCUCUCUACUCUCUCUCUAACCUCUCUCCUAAAUCCAAAGAUUAAGUGUUCAAAACUCAAUUUUAAGGCUUCAAAUCCUUAAGGUACCUUCCUAGCCUUAAUCUAUAGCAUGUUUAGCUUCCAAGUUUGACAUUUAAUCAUGAAAUUGGCCAUCAUAUGUGAGUUUACGGCCCAGGAGGCUGCCUAGGCCGUAAACACCAUUUUGAAGAGUUUUAAGCCCUUAAACUCCUUCCUAAACUCAUUUGGACUUUAGAUAUGGCUAAGGGACAUCAAGAUAUGGACUUAGAACAUUUAAAACAUUGAUUUUGAGUCAUUUGAAGGAGUUUACGGCCAAGGCAUAAGCUUGGGCCGUAAACUCAUGUAAAUGGGGUUUUUCAUGCCUUUAAACCCUCUAUGGCUUAGAUAUGAAUUAUAGGACCUUGGUAAUAGCAUUUGGACACUUGAAACGUGAUUUUUGGGGGAUUUAGAUGAGUUUACGGCCAAGGAUAGUGCUUGGGCCGUAAACUCCCCAAAACUUGACAUAAAUCCAAUUCUAAGGUGUUAGAAAGCCAUCCAACACCACCAAAAGCCUUGGAAUAAAUCAAGGGACCAACCAAAAAUACUUUAAGGGCCUUAAACACAUCAUUCAUGGGAUUUCUAAGAGUUUACGGCCAAGACCUGUUCUUGGGCCGUAAACUCCAAAAUUUUUGGUGUUAGAAUGCAAACUAAACACCCCUAAAGCCUUUAGAUGAAUUUUAGAAGCCAUUCUAUGCAAGUUUUAAACCUUGAAACACCUUGUAGCACCAUGUAGUAGAGUUUACGGCCAAGAGGGGGGUCUCAUAGGCCGUAAACUCCAUAACACCCCUCAAAUGUCCCAUAAAACUCAUGUUAGGUCUUGGAAUAAUUCUAUUAAUCACAUGUGAUUUGUUUUAACAAAAUUUAACACCAUUUUCGUGGGAAAAUAGGAGUCUAAGGCCAGGAAGCCAUGCUAGGCCGUAAACUCCCAUAUAAGGGUCUAUUUUAUGUUUUAAAACUAAUCCAAGUCCCUAAACCAAGUCUAGAAAUUAUCCCUUAAGUGUUAGAAGUCAUUUAGCACCAUAAACC
RNAcentral lists this long non-coding RNA (6170 nucleotides) under Lactuca sativa (garden lettuce). Its description in RNAcentral is "long non-coding RNA (LSAT_LNC007810)". The record is from RNAcentral. Lineage: Eukaryota; Viridiplantae; Streptophyta; Magnoliopsida; Asterales; Asteraceae.